GACGAACGCUGGCGGCGUGCUUAACACAUGCAAGUCGAGCGGUAAGGCCCCUUCGGGGGUACACGAGCGGCGAACGGGUGAGUAACACGUGGGUGACCUGCCCUCAGCUCUGGGAUAAGCCCGGGAAACUGGGUCUAAUACCGGAUAUGACUCCAUGACGCAUGUUGUGGGGUGGAAAGCCUUGUGCGGCUGAGGAUGGGCCCGCGGCCUAUCAGCUUGUUGGUGGGGUGAUGGCCUACCAAGGCGACGACGGGUAGCCGGCCUGAGAGGGCGACCGGCCACACUGGGACUGAGACACGGCCCAGACUCCUACGGGAGGCAGCAGUGGGGAAUCUUGCGCAAUGGGCGAAAGCCUGACGCAGCGACGCCGCGUGAGGGAUGACGGCCU
Molecule: ribosomal RNA, 388 nt
Filed under: uncultured bacterium
Lineage: Bacteria
Description: bacterial SSU rRNA
Rfam family: Bacterial small subunit ribosomal RNA
Source: RNAcentral